UACGGAGGGGGCUAGCGUUGUUCGGAAUUACUGGGCGUAAAGCGCACGUAGGCGGCUUUGUAAGUUAGAGGUGAAAGCCCGGGGCUCAACUCCGGAACUGCCUUUAAGACUGCAUCGCUAGAAUUGUGGAGAGGUAAGUGGAAUUCCGAGCGUAGAGGUGAAAUUCGUAGAUAUUCGGAAGAACACCAGUGGCGAAGGCGACUUACUGGACACAUAUUGACGCUGAGGUGCGAAAGCGUGGGGAGCAAACAGG
This 253-nucleotide ribosomal RNA is filed under the name uncultured bacterium. RNAcentral describes it as "partial 16S ribosomal RNA". It matches the Rfam family "Bacterial small subunit ribosomal RNA", at positions 524 to 776 of the family's 1533-position model. The record is from RNAcentral.